UGCCGAAACCCGGGAUCGAACCAAGGACCUUUAGAUCUUCAGUCUAACACUCUCCCAACUGAGCUAUUUUGGC
This 73-nucleotide transfer RNA is filed under the name Cordylochernes scorpioides. RNAcentral's name for it is "tRNA-Phe". Lineage: Eukaryota; Metazoa; Arthropoda; Arachnida; Pseudoscorpiones; Chernetidae. The record is from RNAcentral.